UGUUGCUGGCCUUUAAAAGCCGUGCACUCCUGCCUUUACAUCCACCUGUGCACUUGCUGUAGACUAGGAUUAACUUCCGGGUCUAUGUUUUCAUAUACCCCUUUAUUAUUGUCAUUGAAUGUAUUAAGGCUUCGGCCAAAAAAAAAACAAUACAACUUUCAACAAUGGAUCUCUUGGUUCUCGCAUCGAUGAAGAACGCAGCGAAUUGCGAUAUGUAAUGUGAAUUGCAGAAUUCAGUGAAUCAUCGAAUCUUUGAACGCACCUUGCGCCCUUUGGUACUCCGAAGGGCAUGCCUGUUUGAGUGUCAUUAAAUUCUCAACUUCAAAAUUCUUUUGUUUUGAAGCUUGGAUGUUGGAGGUAUUUGCAGGCAUGCAUUAGUGUCAGCUCCUCUUAAAUGCAUUAGCAGAACUUUGUACGUUCGGCUCUGGUUUGAUAAAUCCUAUCUAUGCCAUUGCUGAAAGGUCAAUAGAUCAGCUUCUAAUUGUCCAUGUAUUUGGACUGUCUCCUCGGAGGCAUCACCAUUGACUUGACCUCAAAUCAGGUAGGACUACCCGCUGAACUUAAGCAUAUCAAUAA
Molecule: ribosomal RNA, 576 nt
Filed under: Clavulinopsis sp. 1 MV-2011
Lineage: Eukaryota; Fungi; Basidiomycota; Agaricomycetes; Agaricales; Clavariaceae
Description: eukaryotic LSU rRNA
Rfam family: 5.8S ribosomal RNA (bases 154-307)
Source: RNAcentral